Molecule: unclassified non-coding RNA, 202 nt
Filed under: Hevea brasiliensis (rubber tree)
Lineage: Eukaryota; Viridiplantae; Streptophyta; Magnoliopsida; Malpighiales; Euphorbiaceae
Source: RNAcentral
GGACAAAUAAAUGGAACCAAGAUGGAAAGGCAAGGGCUCAGAAGCCAAAGCUCUUGCAGAUCCAAUGUCAAAGAUUGUUUCACAGCUUUGUACUUCUCUAAUCCAAAUAGAUGCUCUUGGGUUACUCUCAGGAUCCAGUGUGCUUCUUGCAGUGGAAACAGAACAGACUGAGCUUCUCACUGGUGCAUGUUUUGGCCGACCG